This 253-nucleotide ribosomal RNA is filed under the name uncultured bacterium. RNAcentral's name for it is "partial 16S ribosomal RNA". It matches the Rfam family "Bacterial small subunit ribosomal RNA", at positions 524 to 776 of the family's 1533-position model. The record is from RNAcentral.
UACAGAGGGUGCAAGCGUUGCUCGGAAUUACUGGGCGUAAAGCGCGCGUAGGCGGCUUUGCAAGUCGGAUGUGAAAUCCCCGGGCUUAACCUGGGAACUGCAUUCGGGACUGCAUUGCUAGAGUAUGGGAGAGGGAAGUGGAAUUUCAGGUGUAGCGGUGAAAUGCGUAGAUAUCUGAAGGAACAUCAGUGGCGAAAGCGACUUCCUGGACCAAUACUAACGCUCAUGUGCGAAAGCGUGGGGAGCAAACAGG